RNAcentral lists this long non-coding RNA (389 nucleotides) under Medicago truncatula (barrel medic). Its description in RNAcentral is "lncRNA gene31175". Lineage: Eukaryota; Viridiplantae; Streptophyta; Magnoliopsida; Fabales; Fabaceae. The record is from RNAcentral.
CCCUGAGCCAUCACUGAUGUGUGAUUGGUGCAUGAAUAAGUUCAUGUUGAUCAUAGAUAAAUUGAUCAAUACCCAAAACAGCUCGUAUAAAUAGACAUGUAGAUUAGAGGAAACAUUAGCUUCUGCCAAAAGCACUCUCUCCCUAAGAACUGAUUCAGAUCUCCCUUCUUGUCAAAUUGAUGUUGAAUAUUAUGAAUGUGUUAAUUGGGAGUUUGACAGAGCGGAAAACGAGUUCAUCUAUAGAGGAAAGGUUCCGAUGACUUUGACUUUAUAUGUUGACGCUGAAGCAUCACCUAAAAAAAAAGUUGACGCUGAAGCAGGUUUUGAUUAUGAUUGCUUCUAACGUACAUAUGGUUAUGACAUUUUCCCCACUGCCUACGCAAGACUAG